RNAcentral lists this long non-coding RNA (10892 nucleotides) under Citrus x clementina. Its description in RNAcentral is "Citrus clementina (C. clementina) long non-coding RNA (CCLE_LNC000265)". The record is from RNAcentral. Lineage: Eukaryota; Viridiplantae; Streptophyta; Magnoliopsida; Sapindales; Rutaceae.
CAGCCGCCACCCCAAUCUUCCUUAUCCUCAACAUCAAUUCAUCAUCCAUCCAUCAUCAUCAAUUCAUCAUCAAGAGCAACAACAAUUUAAAUCAUCCUCAACAUCAAUUUAAAUCAGCAAGAGUAGCAAUCACGAGUAACAACCAAGCUCUACCACCGUUCAUCAUCCAUCAUCAUCAACUAAGGGAUUGGACGGUACCUAUCUUCUUCGUGGAUGUUGGACCUCGAACACUGCUUGACGCUCUCAUGGCUGCCAUCUCUUGGACUCACCAAUGCCUCAGCCGAUAUCUCAAAGAAACCACUAGUCUCUUUUCGUCAGCGCUUCGGUAAUUAUUGAAGUUUUUGUUGUUGUGAAUAGUCAAAUACAAAAUUUAAACACAGAAUAUCGAUAUAAUUGUAAACUUUAUUAUUGAUGUAAGUAAAUUUAGUUGAGAUCUCAUAAAUUUGUUCUACCUUUUACUGUCUUUGCAAAUUCCAAAGAGCCAAAAGUAGCAUACUUGGAGAAUUCAUCUUCCUCCCUUCACCCAACAACCCGGGUUUAAAAUCUGAAAUUCGGGAACCCAGACUUUUUUCGGGUUGAACCCGCUCCGAACCCGCAAUUAAAAAAUCUAGGUUCUAAUCCGGAUCCCAGAAGACAAAUUGGCAUAUGGGUCUGGAACUGAAAAGGCUGAACCUAGACCCGAUUUUUGCUUUCCCUAAACAAGACCCAUGUAGGCACAAUUUUCUUUGCCUAUAUAAUUAAGGAAAAUGAUAAGUGAACAUAGCCAUGACAGAGGGAAGACAGAAACGACAGCCGCUUGUUGUCGUUUCGUUCACUUAUCAUUUCUUCUUCAUGGGCCCAUAAUUACUUUAAAAAAAAGUAAAGAUUAAUUAAAAAACAAAACAAAAGAGAAGCCCAGGAAGGAUAUCAGAGCUGCUGCAAUCUUAUCUCUUCUCUACCUUUGCUCUACCUCAUCCCUUAUUACCCACGGCAACCUUGCAGGUUUUCUUUUGCCAUGAUUGGGCCAACCAACCUUGCAGAUUUUCCUUUGCCCUCCACACAGCACAGAGCCAACAGAUUGAGAUUUUGUAGAUUAUCUUUUGCAAAUUUUUUUUUAUGUUAUUGAAAUUGAGCAAAUGCAGGGCUAGAAAUGCAUAUAUCAGUUGUGGUAAACAAUUUGGCCUCUCACUUUAAUCAUUAUGGAGCGUUAAAACUCAUGUCCAAUAGUAGAAAAAAAUGUUUUCACUUUAUUCACGCAUGUGUGCCAUUAUAUAUUCAUUUUUCUAAAUUUAUUGUGAGCCCAUAACAGAAGAGAGAGAGGACAGAAAACAACAUGUGCUGCCGUUUCUGUCUUCCCUCUACCGUUAUUUUGGCUAGUUAGCACUGCUAUAUAAUUAACGAUAAAUUUCUCUUUUUUUGGUUAAAUCUAUCAUCUUACGCAACAUUUGAGGAGUUUAAAUGACAAAAUUGUUACCAAUAACAAAAACUUACGCUGUUACAGCAUUCAUAGAUUUACUUCAAUUAUUGAGCUAGGCAGAACAUGUUCAGCAAUAACAGAAUUUUGAAUCACUAAAUUCCUAAUUUAUGAGUUAAAAUGUAGGUGAAAGUUAACUUACCUCACAUAUGAUGCAUUCAGAAUAAGCAAGGAAGCCGCAUUCCCCACAGUGAUAAACAUGAUCCUUAGGAGUUCUUCCUGUUUACAAACAUAAUCUUUUACACAAUCCGUAAGCAUAAGAUGAUGCAAUUGGUAACUUUAAUGUCUUACAACAAGCGGCAGAGAAAUAAAUUCAAUAAAAACAUUCCAAUUACACUUACUACACCUAUAGAAUGAAUCUUCACAGUAAUCGUGGCGCUUGCCAUAUUCGAAACACUUAAAACAGUGCAUUGUUUUCAUUAAAUAAACCAAAUCAUGAUCAUCAGUGAGGCUUGUGUUUCAAGCUUCUUGUGUAGGGGUAUCAACAGGUAACAUGAUAAUAAAAUUUACAAUCCGAGCAUUAUUACAGUGCAAGCUGAUGCCUUCAAUUAAUUCGUCACAGACAUUACAAGUCUUGGACUCGUCGUUCACCAAAGUAUUCAAAAAGAGGGUGUAGUUUUUUAAGAGGAUGAUGGUGAUUUCUUUGGACGUGUUUAGACAGAACCCAUGAACAAAGAAUUUGCAGUGUAUGCAACAAUAAGCUGAGUAGUUGAUGAUGAUCAAGUUGCAACAAAAACAAAAGGGUAAUAAUAAAGUUUCUGAGUGGUUUCCGAAAUUGCAUAGACCCGAUUUAUGCAUGUAUGCACGACAUACAAUAUGAAAAAAUCAAGCAUACAAUAAGAAAAAAUCAAGAAGACCCUCUCAAAAUUGUAAAACUAAUUGUACGGGCAUUUUUAUUUAGAAAAAACGAGACUUAUCAAUGGGUCCUGUAUGGGACAUUUAAAAUGGUAUCAACAGGCCUUAAAACCCAAAUAAAUGUCCUUUUAAUCCAUUUCCCCUUAUUAACGAAGAAUCCAUAUCCCCCGGACCUUCCAGGGACAAGGGCAAGUCUCGCUCUGAUCUUCCAUCUGGAAGGGUAAUUGGAAAUUAAAAAGCACGGUGUCUAGCAAUUGUGCAAAAUAUUGAGAAGAACUUCUAUACUUUGUAGUACAACUAACUAAUAAAAUUAUAAUAUGCACAUAGUAUUUUGUCACUCAAAUUUGUCAAAAUUAAAAAAAAAAAUCUUAAUUAUUAGAAAUUCUAGGCAAAUUAGUCUGGGUUUCAAUCCAAGGAAACCUACACUUGUUACUACCGAAACCAAAAAUCAAUCCACCUAAUUUACUUUGGGUUUAGUUUGAGUUUUGGUUCAAAUGAUUUGGCUUUGACUCUACUAUAUCAUAAUCAAUGUAAAUUAUCACUGUCAUACAUUUUGGUUAUUAAAUUAUAACUAACACUCCAAAUAAACACACAAAUGGACAAUUAAAAGAAUAUGUUGGGCAUCCUAGAGCACAAGAUAUUUUGCAGGGAAAAAAUUGCUUCAUAAAUUACUUUGAAUGCAAUUCCUAACAUAACAUCAUACAUGCCUAUUCUAAUGGAUAAAACAAACCCAUAAUCACAUAUCCGUAUCACAAAAUUUUAUAAUAAACAUAAAAAAAAAAAAAACCUCUUUAAGACAGCACUCACACAUGCACACAUGUUCAAAGUGAAUGUAGUUAAAAGUUUAGCUUAUUUACUUCUUGGCGGUCACAACAAUAAACCUAGUCACCGUAAUCGAACAUCAAUGAUUACUCUUGGCAGUCACAACAAUAAACAUACUCAUCAUAACUGAACAUCAAAGAUUAAUCUCCUGUGAAAAUGUAACAAUAAACUACUAAGCACUAUGGGUCUUAAUAAAUGAUAAACAAGUCCAAAUUUACUUUACAAGAUAAUUUCCUAGUUUCAACACGCUUAUCACCCUUAGCACUUAUUUAUUUAUUUAUUUUUGUUUGAUACCUUAGAUGAUAUUCAUGAUACAACUAAAAAUAUCACAUAAAAUUCUCAGCUCCUAUGUCUUUAAGAAACAAUUUCAAGUAAUAUCACAAAUCUUGCUUUCCAUUCUCCUUAUAACAGAAAAAGUUACUAACCAAUCCUCAAUCUCAGAUUUUUAAUUAAAAAAAAAUCAAUAUCCAAUAUUUAUGAAAUUUCAUAGGGAUCAUAUAGGCACAUAAAGGUUACUUUUUUUACAGUAAAAUUUCAAGGCAAAUUGCAUUCAAAAUCUGUUAAAAAUAAACUUGUUUUUUAGGCCAUUUAAUCAUGCCAUAAAAAAAAUCCAAAAUUGAGUCCCUUUCACUCGUUAACUCAUAUUAACGAGAAACGAGGAAUUAAGACCUCAGUAUCUAAUAUGCCGUGUAAAAGGGCCCAUCUGCAAAAGUUCAUGAUUUUAAAGAAGGUGUUGAUGCAAGAUUCUGGCUCUCCUCGUUCUACGACCAGGGUCUCUACUUGAUCAACUUCACCACGACCAGGAUCUCUCCUCGUAAAGCUUCUUCUCCAGAGGUUCCUGCGCACACAGACAAGUCAGAGUACGCGGUUGUUUUCCCGGCGCAAACCCUCCGACGCUCAAGUCAGAUAUGAAGGUUCGGGGAACGCUUGCCACAAAUCUUAUGGCUGUUAGGUUGUUUUCUCUCUUUUAGAAUCAAAAUUGCUAACCCUUUUACCUUUGUUGGCUACCUUUUUAUAGGCUUCCUCUGAGUCCCGACCUUCCGCAGUUUACGCCCGUUAUUCUCCCCACCUUCGGAUGUGUAUUCCCCAUUUCCGUAGUCGUGGGUGGUUGCGUGGCCUUCGUGCCUAGAUUCUCGGGCUGGAGAGCGUGCCUCGCCAACUGUCGUUGACCGGGUCUCCUCGAAUAAACCCUUAGCAAGAAUACAGCAGGAAUGGAUUUAUGCUUCUUACAAGAAAUUGGUCUCACGGAUGACGUGCUCGUGGAUGAGCAGGAUAUUCCUGCCCCUGUUCCCCUGCUACCUGGCUCUUACAGGACACACCUGCUCGCAGACUUCUGCCACCAAACAUCUGCUCAUCACGUCUGGUCUCGUCGGAGUAUUUCCCUCAAACAAAAGGUUUGAUUGGUCAAAAGUUUUUCAUCAUUUGGCAACAUUACAGAAACCGUAAAUUUUUAAUAUCCAAUUGUAUGAUUCAAAAAUCCAUUAAAAUUCGAAUUUAAGUAUAUUUCAAUUUAAAAAUUCUAAGAGACCUUACAAUGUCUAGUUUCAGUACAAAAACAUACAUAUUUGCAAAAAAAAAUGCAUUAUUUUAAAUCGUUUUGGAGUAGGUCACUAUCAUAUGUACACAAAACCUUGAAAAAAACUUAAUUAUUCCUUACUGUUUCUUCAAAGAACACAAUAAGUCAAAACUGAUCUUUGUCAAACUAAAUCAUCCUCUCAUAAGUUCAUUCUAUAGCGUAGAUAUAUCCCACGACAUAUUUUUGUGAGAAAGAAAGUUUAGCAACCUUACAGUAAGCUUAACAAGUAAAUUUAGAUAUUAAAAAAAAAUACCUCUUUGCUCUCUUUCCCUCAUAACCUUUUCCAAGAAUCUUCAACAUCUGUCAGCAGUCUCUAAAACUAAUUUUUGUAAGAAAGAAAGUCUACCACCUUACAAUAAAAGAAGACCUGAUUCUUAUUGGGUUUUAGAACUACCCCAAAAAAAAUUCACUACGCACAGAAAGCUUUAACUCUUAGGCCCAAAAAUUAAAAUUCAAGGAGUAAUAAUAAUAAUUCACAUAAUUAUCAAAAAAAUUAGUCACUAAUAAUAACAACUGAAAUGAACCUUACUCACUUGAUUCCAGGCAUUAUAAUAUAAAUACAGAGUGAUCACGGAUGAUAGCAUGAAAUUGUGUGCAAACGCAUAUCUUUAUACUAUAUAACAUUGUAAACUAUUUUACAACUCUAUUAAAGGUUGUGCAUGAAAACUGAUGCAGAUGUUCGCACGUUGGCAUGAUUUAUAUAUAUAUAUAUACACCCAAGAUCCCCAUAUUGUAAUAUCUAUAUGGGGAAUUUUUCGAUCAAGGAUUCCCGGAUGGACCAUUGGAUUCCAAAUCCCUUUUUUUCAUUUUUCUUCCAUUUGGUUGGCUGCACAUGGUCUGCCAUGUGCAGCCAAAUGUUAGCCUUUGGAUUCAAAAACCACCAUUUUGUUCUUAAAUUGGAAAAGUAUCUAAGAACAAAAUAUUUAAAUCCAAAGGUUAUCAUUUGGCUGCAUAUGUUGUUGCUCAUGUUGGAGCCAACAAAAUAUUAAAAAAAAAAAAAGUUUCGGAUCCUUGGAUUUCAAUUAGUGGCUCAUUCGAGAAUCAUGAAUUGGAAAAUUCCCUAUGUACAUGCAUGCGCGCACGUGUGUAGAUUGCACUUAUUGUGAUGAUCCUUUACUUUAGGCAAAUAUUAAGUUACAUUAAAUGUAACUUAGGGGCUCCCUUUACUUUAAUAUGAUAAGGUAUAAUCUAAAAAAUAUAAAAACACAAAUUUCAAUACACUACAAGACAAAAUAUAAUACAUUGAAGCGUGCUUUUCUUCUAUUUUAGCUCAUUCUUUACUUUAUUAAAGUGCGAGAAACUCACCAAAUAAUAACUCACACACACACACACACACAUAUAUAUAUAUAUUGUGAGCUUCCCAUUAAGUGAUCCUUUUUUUCGUAAAUAAAAUGAGGACUUCAAAUAUUAGCAAUCUGGCUGCAUUAUGUGGAAUAACCUCACUUUUAAUUAUUUAUUUUUAUUAUAUUCUUCGCUAAACCAAAGAGAAAGGGAAACAAAUAUUAUAUGUUGGCCAAAAUCGUGAAAAUUGUUUGUUUUCUUUUCGCUUUUGAAAUAUAAUAGGAUUUAAUAAUUAGAAGUGGAGUCAUUCCACUUAAUACAACCAAAACAAAAAAUGGUUAUUGGGUUCUGCAAAUACAGAUUAAUAUUAGAACUCGAUGUUUUGCUUAGGUUCGAACCUCUAAAUGAUUUUGAAAUACAAAUUGAGCUAAAAGACAAAAAAAAAAAAAAUACUGACCAAAAAACAUUAUUUUUACCUUCUAGUGUAUUGGAGUUCAUGUUUUUUUGUCUAAAUGAUUUUAACAUGCAGAUAUAUAUAUAUAUACACACACACACACUCAACCCAAAUUCUUCUCUAAUAAGGAUGCUCAUAUAUUUGCAAAAUGUGAAUGCUUGUUUACAGUAAUUCGAUGGUCCUCAUUCGUUCUUCUUUUAGUUAUAAUAAAAUACUCAUUAUUGUACAUCUUCAUAAAUGAUCUCCAAAGUAAAUUUUUAAUUAUUUAAUUAUACAUUGUUUAAGAAAAAUUUCAUUCAACCAUUUUAUUAGAGAAAAAUAAUGUAUAUACUUUUAUAAAUAUAUAGUUUAACUUCCAAUCUGAGAAUCCCAGACUUCAUUAAAAUUCAAGACAUAUUUACAACAUUGUAAAAAUCCAUUUACAUCACUACCAACUCUUCCCAGAUUUAGUUUAAUCUUGAAUUCUCAAAUUAGAAAAUUUUCAUAUGUGUGUGCGUGUGUAUGUAUGUAUGUAUGUAUGUCAUUUAUCAUUUUCUAUUACAACAACACCAAAGAAAUAGAAUGUUCUAUUUUAGCCAAAGAAAUAAUUUUAAAAUGUUAUGUUUUAGCCAUUAAAGUGCAAUAACGAUUAUGUGAUUAAAGGAAAGAAAAUAAACAAAUAAAUGCUAGAUAAAUAAACAUACCGUGAGGUGAUUACUUCUUAUAAAGAGAGUGAAAUAUUAAUACUCCAUUCUCUCUAUCAUCUUCCUCACCAGCAUUCAAAAAUGAUUUAAAAAGCAAGAAAUAUUAAUUUGAAGAACCCACAAAGUAACAAUAGUUUUGUCCCAAAGGUAUAAUGGUAAGAGAAUCCAGAUUUAUACGCCGCUUCAGAUAAAAGAUAAGGACAAACAAAUUUUGGCAACAGUCACUUGCUAUGCUCCUUUGACAGCCCCAUAAUCAUUUUUUUUUUUCAAGUAUUAACCCUAUUUGGUAGCAUCAUAAUUAACUUGGUUGUGCCAUUUCUAAAUACAAUUAUUUUAUUAAUGACGCCCACAAAAUUAUCCUUACAAAGAAUUUCCUGUACUUUCCAAAUUUGUAAAAUAUCGGAUUGUAUGUGGUCCCACAUUGUCCGAUUUUGUGGAUUAUAUACAAAAAUUCACCAUUUUAUGGAUUGAUUCAAGGCCAAAACUACAUUGCGUCCGGGGUUUGGUGCCCCACUCGUUUGUCUGUUAGCAAGGUCAGCGUUGGAUUUGAUCUGACAGCUGCAGAAGAGACACAAAUAUAAAGGAGUAACCUGAGGCAAAGGUAACAAGCCGGUCACCUACAAAAAAUAAGUGUAUGAUAAAAUAACACAUGCAAUGAAUUUUGUUUUGUUUUUUUUUUAGAAGACGUGUAAUGAACUUGUUGGAAGCGUAUAUGCAAGUAAUGGUUGGAAACAACUUGCUGGAACCGUGCAAGUAUUCGUUGGGCUAAGACUGACAUGAAAUUUCCCAAAUACUGUUCGAAACAUUUGCAAAUAGUUAAUUCAAAGCGUCAAUAAAUGCUGGAAAAAAUACAUAUUUUUUAUUUUAUUAUUAAGAAUACAUUUUUUUUAUAAAAAAAUAAAUUAUUAAUGAUACAUAUUAAUAACAAAUAUACCGAAAAAAAAUUAUCCAUAUAUUUAAAAAAAAUUUGUGAACAACACAUUUUUUAGAAGUACACAUUAUACCAUAAAAAAAUUGAGUUGUAUCAUGGACAGCCAUAAAAUAUGAACAAAGAUUACAAUCUAAACUCCACAUGCAUGUUUAAUUUGCAGAUUCCAUUUUUUCAGAAUGUGUUUCCCACCAUGGGGAUAACCAGGGUUAUUCAGGCAAAACACUACUGUAAUUUAUUAUCAUAGACAGGAAAAAGACAAUGGCAGAGAUCAAUGAUUUAACACACAAGAAUGAGUGAAUGACAACAGCAAGUGAGAACCAUGCAAAAUCUUUUUUAUUAGAGAUCCUUUCUUAAAUCUUAAAUAAGAACAUUAAAUAAGCUUGAAAAAUAUUGGUAAUUGACCCAAUACACAUCCAUCUAACGGAAAACAACGGACAAUUUGAUGCAUGUGUGGAGCACUUGAGGAAACAGAGCAUCCGCAGAAUGCCUAAAUUUGAAAAAAAUAAAUUGCAUUUGACAAAAAGAACUUGGAGCGUUCAAAUACAAAGUGUCAAUUAAUUAAGGGCAUCCAUGUAGUUGUCUGUUUCACUUUCUACUUCAUCAAGCUGGUCUCCAUUGGAUAUAGAUUUUUGAAUGUCUUCAUCAGCAGGAAAGAUAUCCAUUUGAUCAACAUUUUCAAGGAUGACAGUUCCUCUUUCCUGAGUAUCUGAGUCAAAAUUAGCUGAAAGCACCUCCUGAUACUAUCUAUCAAGCAAGAUAUCCCUUUGGUCAACACUUCUAAGGUAGGCAGUUCCUCUGUUCUGUGUAUCUGUGUCAAAACUUGCUGAAAGCAUCUCCAGAGGCUCGCCAUCAAGCAUGAUACCUUACAAGAUUCAUCAACCAUCAAAUAUGCUCAACAUGCAAUACCAAAUUAAAUUACCCAUCUCCAGGGUUGGAUUUGUCUUCAAUCAGAUGAAUACUGGAGAGAAUAUAAUUGAAAGAAUGGCAUCAUCUACCAUGCAAGGUAAGGCUCCUUACAGGUGCUCAACAUGACACCACAAAAGAAAAUACAAUAUCAAAGACACAUCACCAACAUAUAUGCAAACAACCAAUUCUCACAGCAUGCAGUGCAACAACUCACAAAAUAUGAAAUUUAACAUCAUCUAAGCAUUUUCUCAAGCUUAUUUCUCAUUAAAGAACUUAACUGAAAGUAGUAAACAUAGAGACAUAUAACAGUUUUAUAAGUACAGACCACAAAGCAGAACUUUGUUCGAAUGAUAAUGAUCAUAAUCCACAUUAUAAACGCAGUGAAGUCAUCAAAUGAAAAUAAGAACACAGUACACAAUUACACAAAUAUUAGGCUUAAUUAAUUAUUUAGAAUAAAACACCACCUCACGCAGCUUCCUUAGCUGGAAUCUUCUCAUAUCCCAUCUUCUUAGGGCUCAGAUCAUCAACAUCAUUGAAUUCCUCAUACGAAUUGCGAGAAUCGUGAUGAUUAGCAAAGAGGCUCCACACCAAAUACAUGGUAACUGCAGUAAGCGAACCGCACCCAACGUCGAAAAGCAAAGUGACUGGUCCGGUCGCAUAGAGAGGAGUAGUCGUGCUCGAAGGGAAAAACGCGGCAUUUUGGUUCGUGGAUGAGGUGCUAGUCCUGAUCGUCGAUUGAAGGGAGAAUCGGACAGUCGAGGAAGAUUAAGGGACGGUGGGGGCUGAGUUUGGCGAAUUUCGGUGAAGAUUGUGACGAAUCCAGCGAGGUUCUCGGAAUUAAGGUUAGGGUUACGGGGAUUGCAAUGGAUCGAGUAAGAGGAAAUGAAGAGGGUUUUGCAUGGCCUUCCGGAGGCUGAAAUUGAGAGAACACCAUGAAUAUUGUGAGAGCUAAGAGGAGACGCUGAGUCGAUGAUGCCAUUGAUUCAUACCACACAACUUCGAUUGGAAAUGGAGCCUCUAAUAGCUUUAGCCGGUUACCCAUUUUUCAAGUGUUAAAUCUCAGCCGUUGACUGCCUUUCUUUACGAUCUAAAGGGUCAUACGCAAAAGGACAAACGACUGGGGUACCAAACCCCUGAUGCAAUGUAGCUGGAUCCUUGAUUCAAUCCAUGCGUUGCACUGCAGAUUUGAUGCGGAUUUGACACUAAUCCACAUUCAAUCUACUAUUUUAUGGAUAGCAUGCGAAUUACACUUUCAUAGACUUAUACCUUUUUAUUUAUUUUAAUACUCGAUAGAAAUAAAAAUAAAAAUAAAAAUAAAAACCCUUAUAGCAAAAAGAAGGCAGUACAAGAUUAAGAUAUGGCUAGCUGCUUCAAUACUUUCUUAGUUUUCUUUUUAAUUUAUAUAUAUGAUUCAUCAUCAUUGUGAAUGUAAAUCAUAAAAGACAGACACUUAUAUAACUAAGAAAAAGAAAAAGAAAAUUAAAGAAGCCAAAUAAAUACAUACCUUGAAGACCGAAGGAAACAAAAGCUAUGAAGAUCUCGUCUUAUUAAGAGAGUGAAUAAAUAAUACUCGAUUCAUCUAAAUUGAUCUUCCUCUUUUGGACUCAAGAAAGGUUUUAAGGGGGAAGAAAUUGAAGACGAAUUGAAAAACCUUGGACUUAUAAUGCUCUCAAACAGUUAAGAAGGAAAGUGCGAAGACAUUGGCCGCAGAAUUUAGUUUUGUGUGUUGAAGGGUGUUUAGAAGAUAAAGAUAAAAUGUUCAAAUAAUAAUAAUAAUAAUAAUAAAUAAAGAUGAAAAAUGUUUGGCAAUAAUAUCACUAGAGGUGGGCAUCAACCCGCCCAACCCGUGUGAUUUUUUGCGGGUUGGGUUGGGUUGAUAAAAUAAACGGGUUGAGUUGGGUUAUUAAAUUCCCAACCCGCACUAUUUGCGG